AGGAAUUAACGCAUAACAUUUUGUAUAAUCUGGUUUGGUAUGGGGACACACCCCCUUGACAACCAGCUGAAUCAUCUGUAUCCAUCAAUCCCCUCAUUUCCAGUUCUUGGGAUUCAUGGAGAAUUCCAGAUUUAAAAAAUGUACCUUUAACUUCAAACAGUAGCUCGAUCUUACCUCCUGUAAACAAGCAUCAUGGCUGCUAGAUCUAUGUGUCAGUUUUUACCUCCCCUCACUUCCCAUCACUUCCGUUACUACGGUUGUAUUAUUGCGCAGUAAAUUUGAACUCAUAAAAACAACACAAUUUUACACCCCCAGUUGUUUAAUUAUUUUAAAAUUAAAUUAUAAGGAAUGACUCUAAUUCUUGGCUAAAUUAUCGAGUAUAAUAUGGUUUGGGUCAGUUUACGCUUUUUUAUAAUCCACUUCGCGGAACCACUGCAGAAGGAAAGAUAAAACUAAUGAGAAAGCAUCCUCAGUAAAUUCAAGUUUGUUUAAUUCAUGACCCCAGGAGGUAGGGUGGGGCCACAAUUCAAUACUGAAAUGAAUUUUGCUUUUACAAAGGCAAAGUGCUCAGGUGAGCAAAGUUGUCCCUAGACUCUUGUUUGUGCUUGUUCCAUUCACUACUGUGUAAAAUGUGCUUACAUGAGCUCUCUCUCUCUCUCUCUCUCUCUCUCUCUCUCUCUCUCUCUCUGUAAUAUAUGUUAAAUAAAUUAUCCUUCAUAAUUAUGUUUCUUUUAUAUUUAUAGAUUGCUGAUUCAGAAGUUGAAAUCAUGAAGUUGAGCAUGGAGGAUACUUUUAAAAAUGAAAAAUCUAAACCAUUAUUAUUAGCAACUCAUUUAGUGUUGAAGUGCCCAAAUCCAAAGCCUUUUCCCAGGAUUUACUUUCACAGGAGGGAAAAUCAUCAAGGGAACUGAAAAGGGAACAAUUGCGACAUCAGAGCAUGGAGACUGGUCCUAAUCAUGUAAAAGCUAUCUUGGAUUGUGAAAGAACACUGUUAUUACAGUAACAUUGAACCACGAAAAAUAGGAAUCUUGGUGCCAUCAACGAAAAAAAACGAAGAGGAAAUAUCAAUCACAUCCAUUACAUCAACGAAAGAACACAGAGGAAAAUAAUGGCAUACAGGACAGCACCUGGAACUCAUCCGUAGGUUUAUGUAUUUAGAUGGUAUUUUCAAUAUGACUAAUGCAGACAUGCUAACAUCAGAAAGUUGGUCAGUCUCUUGAGAUAUUUGUAAAUGAAAUAUAUCAAUAGUAUAGUACUUUACUGACAUGCAUUAACUUGAUUAAUGUCAUUAACAUUGUCCAUAUUUAACCUAUAACCCCCAAGUUUUUUCAAGGUUGUUGAUGUUUAUUAACUAAUUGUAUUUUUUUAAUUUCCUAUAUGUUUUUAAUUUACUAGUUGUGCACUUGUUAUUUCUUUGAUUGCUUCUUAUGUGUUACAAACAUGUUUCUCCCAAUGUGAUUGAUAUUAUAGACUAUCUAUUUAUCAUAUUGUACGUCUGUUGACAGUCCCCAUGAUCCAAUGUGUUCUUUAUUAUAAACAUUGUAAAUAUAACAUUGUUAAAUUUAUUUUUAUUAAACUACAAUAUAUCGCUAAAUAUUUCCAGUUCUAAUUGUUUUUUCUGUGAUGUCUCUUUGAAAGUUAGUCAAGUUGAUUAUUUGAUCAUUCUACCAGAAUGUAAAUUUCACCAAGCAAUAGGUCAGGAACUUAAGAGGGCUUAAUGCAUGUAAAUGUUGUGCAUCUGUCUUUGAUUUUGAUGUCAAUUGCCAGAAACUAUUGAAAAUAAAAUGGAGGCCUCAUGUAAUUUAAAUCCAUUAUUCUACAUUUUCUUAUAAUCUAAAUUUACUAUUUUAUUUUACAAUGAAUUAGAAAUAUAAGGAAAUACUUUUUUGUUAGUAGAGUAUGCCUGGGCACCAACAAUAGUUGAAAACAUGGGCUAAAUCCAUUAUGCAUAAAUCACACGUUUCCAAGUUUCGUUGAUGCCUUGGCAUUCUCUACUAACUAGGCAGUGAUUCCUUAAAUUAAUUUUUGAUUAUGUUGUAGCAUAUUAUGGUUUUGAUAUUAAUGUCCUGAAUAUUUUGUCAUACAUAUUUAUAUGUAUAUAUAUGUUUAUAUUUAGAGCUGCAAGGCGAGAAAUUCCCUUGCUCUGAGACAAUAUUUUUCUCAAUUUUUAAAGUUUAUGGAAAAGUUGUAUGUUCUUAAAUUAUCUUUUCAGUAAUGAUAUCUUUAACACAUAUGAUUAAUUUAUUCUAUUAAAUUCCUUAUUGGUUGAUAAUGUAUUUUUAAAGUUAUCAAUAAAGCAAACUUUAGAGGAAAAAGGAUUUGUUUUGUC
Molecule: long non-coding RNA, 2329 nt
Organism: Saccostrea cuccullata (small rock oyster)
Lineage: Eukaryota; Metazoa; Mollusca; Bivalvia; Ostreida; Ostreidae
Exons: 4
Source: RefSeq, a predicted model, not a curated record